Long non-coding RNA from Triticum aestivum (bread wheat), 247 nucleotides. RefSeq lists it as uncharacterized. The transcript has 3 exons. The record is from RefSeq and is a predicted model, not a curated record. NCBI's taxonomy places the organism in Eukaryota, Viridiplantae, Streptophyta, Magnoliopsida, Poales, Poaceae.
GAGACCCCGCUGCCGCUGCGGACGCCAUGGAGACCGUCAAGGCGCAGACUGUUGUGUGCCGCCUCUUCCAUGGGCGUCCACGCCAUGGAGCUCCUUAAGACACCCUCAAUGAUGACCAAGGUGGAGUGCAGGACAUCGAGGACAUGAUAUGAACCGCCGUUCCAGACGCCCGCCUCGGGGAAGGAGCACUCCAUCCCGCUGAUAACAAUGUUUUGAAAGAGGAGAUGACAGAUUUGUUGGAGGAGAG